RNAcentral lists this long non-coding RNA (1870 nucleotides) under Populus tremula. Its description in RNAcentral is "long non-coding RNA (PTRE_LNC002929)". Lineage: Eukaryota; Viridiplantae; Streptophyta; Magnoliopsida; Malpighiales; Salicaceae. The record is from RNAcentral.
GUAACAAAAGUGGAAAGAAAAAAAAACAAUAAGAGAAGGACGUGAGAAAUCAAGAGAAAAACAAGAAAAAGUGAGAGAGAGCUUUGAAACUUAUAAGAUUGAAAGACUUAGAACAUUAAAUUAAGGAAGAAUCAAGUGAAGGAAGACAUAAGAAAGGUGAGGAGGGCUGGCCACACUAGGAGGAGAAGAAAAGUUGGGAGAACUUAGCUUGGUAAGCAUGAAAAAUUUAGAUUAUUACUUGAAUGAAGUGUUUUUGGGUUUAUUUGAGUAAGUUAUCAAACAAUGACAAUUAAAUUUGACUUAAUUUCUUAUAUUCUUGAUUUUUGUUAAAUUAGGGUUCUUAUGAGAAUUUGGGGGUUUUGAGAAAAGUAGUAAACAUGAUGGAAUUGAGGUAGAAUAGUAUAGAAAUAGUGAAUGUAAGUAGCAAUUAAGAAAGAAAUUGAAUAAUUUUGAAGAAAAGAACUUGUAAUUAAGGAUGAGGAAAUAUAGGGAUCAAGUUUUAAUUGUUUUAUGUUUGAGAAAUGAUGUUCUUUAUCUUAUGUGAAGUAUUCAAAAUAUGAACAAGUGAAAAAAAACAUCAUGAGAAUGUGAAAAGAAGGAAUAAAUAAAUGGUGGAAUAGUUCAUGGAAGAAUUCUUUAAGUGAAGUAAAAGAAGAAAAUUGAUUAAAACUAUAUGUUGAAAAUGAAGUGAUAAAUGAAUGAAAAUUUUGGUGUAAACCCCAAUUAAAUAAAUAAAUAAAAAUAUUACGUGCUUCAAAUUUAGGCACGUAGGAGAAAUAAUAACGUAGUGCAAUUUGAUUUAUUCAGGAGUUGUUUCGGGAGUAGGGCAUCAGGCAGGAGGAGCUGGGCCAUCACGAGCAGACGGUAGGUGAUUCAUCUCUUUCUUUAAAAUUCAAAGUUUCAUUAUUAGUUAUGAGUUGUUUAUGACAUGUUAAUAUGGAAGAAGUAGAAGAAGAAACUGUUGGUAUUAUAAUGGGAUGUCGGGUGGUUCGUAUAGAAUUACCAGUUAGUAUGGGAUUACCGGUUGGUAAAGAAUUUCCGGUUGGUUAGCAUGAAUUACCGAUUGGUAUAGAAUUACCGGUUGGUUAGCAUGAAUUACCGGUUGGUAUAGAAUAGUAUGGAAUUACCGGUUCGAAUGGAGUUACCGGUUAGAUUGGCUAUUGAUAGAGAAUAGCCGGAUGUUUGGUAAUUCAUAUGGAAUUACCGGUUAUAUAUUGGCUAUCGAUAGAGAAUAGCCGGAUGUUGGGUAAUUCGUAUGGAAUUACCGGAUGUUGGGUAAUUCGUAUGGAAUUACCGGUUAUAUAUUGGCUAUUGAUAGAGAAUAGCCGGAUGUUGGGUAAUUCGUAUGGAAUUACCGGAUGUUGGGUAAUUCGUAUGGAAUUACCGGUUAUAUAUUGGCUAUUGAUAGAGAAUAGCCGGAUGUUGGGAAGUACCGGAUGUUGGGUAAUUCGUAUGGAAUUACCGGUUAUAUAUUGACUAUUGAUAGAGAAUAGCUGGAUGUUGGGUAAUUCGUAUAAAAUUACCGGUUUGAUUAUUGGCCAUUUAAGAGGGUUAGUCGGGCUUGAGGUAAAAUUUGUGAAUUACCAAAUUAAAUAUAUAUAUAUAUAUAUAUAUAUAUAUAUAUAUAUAUAUAUAUAUAUAUAUUAAACAAUGAGUGUUGGUUACAAAGGUCUUAUAAGUAUAAGAUUAAUAAAUCAUAAAUGGGUUAUUAAUGUUGAUAUAUUUUGAAGACUUGUGCACAUAAUAGCUUUAUCAUUUUUAAUGUGUUAUCUUCCUUAUUUCUUAUUAAUGUUAUGUAUACAGGUUGUUCACGAAGUGAUGCGGAGCGUUAGAUAUAGGCUUUGUGUUUUAAUCUGUUUAUUUUGUGGGA